CUAUACAUGCAGUCGAGCGGAGAUUUAAAAGCUUGCUUUUAAAUCUUAGCGGCGGACGGGUGAGUAACACGUGGGCAACCUGCCUAUGAGACUGGGAUAACUCCGGGAAACCGGGGCUAAUACCGGAUAAUUCUUUUCUACUCAUGUAGAAAAGGU
This 156-nucleotide ribosomal RNA is filed under the name Firmicutes bacterium CSC3. RNAcentral's name for it is "partial 16S ribosomal RNA". It matches the Rfam family "Bacterial small subunit ribosomal RNA", at positions 50 to 202 of the family's 1533-position model. Lineage: Bacteria; Bacillati; Bacillota. The record is from RNAcentral.